Molecule: long non-coding RNA, 422 nt
Filed under: Marmota monax (woodchuck)
Lineage: Eukaryota; Metazoa; Chordata; Mammalia; Rodentia; Sciuridae
Source: RNAcentral
AGAGGGAACUCCGGACAACCACAACCCCAAAACAGCGGGCGCCCAAGCCAACACAAGCCCCCCUAUUGCGGGGCAGCAGGGGUCUAUAUACAACGGAAUACACAGCCCGUUUCAAUCCAGCAUCAUCCAGUCACAGCAAGCAGACACAACGGAACCCAAUCACCAUCAUCCUAAUGGCAAGCCCACAUCACCCCACAACCACUCCAACUCCCAAAAUCCCAAGCGACUCGGCUGUGGCUCUCAACAACUGCCAGGUGUGGUGGCACACUCCCGUAAUACAAGGACAUAAGGAGCACCAAGAAAAAGGAUCAGGAAGCCAAAGACAGCCCCUGCAACGCAGCGACACCUCCAAGCUAAAUAAAAAGGUGUAGAGCUCAGUGGUAAAGCACCCCUGGGUUCAAUUUGCAGUAACAACAAAAGUC